GGGGCGGAGCCUCGGAGCCUGGCGCCCCGCGGCCCCGCCCCCGGGCUCCUUGCUCACCCCGGUGGCCCCGCGGCCCCCAGGCGACGGCUGGCACCCCUUAUUUUAGCUGCUGUUAGGAUUGUUCCCCUCCAGCCACCUAAUUCUAUGGAGGCUCGGAGAAUCUGGGUUAGCCGAGCCCCAGUGCAUGCACCCGGCUGGCCGACUGUCCCGCGCUGUUCGCCCCGCUCCGCUUCUGUCUCCCUUAAGAAGGCAGUUGACAUUCAUCGAAGGCUCACUGCGUGGUAGAUAAGUGUAUUAUGCGCCUCGGCCGCGUUAACUGUUUUAAUAACCUUCAGACUCCGGGAAACGGGUGCUCUUCCCUCCAUCUUACAGAGAAGGAAACCGGCCAGAUUUAUUUAUGUAUAUGAAUGCUUUGUCUGUGCCCACAGAAGUUAGAAGAGGGGAACGGGAUCCCCGGAAACUGGGCGUGUUGAUGGUCGGGAGCCACCACACAAUUGGACGCAAACUACCACGCUACAUGAUUGACACUGGAAGCUGUAUCCGGCGUCAAAUUGCGCUGGGGUGGGAAAACGGAAGAUGAUGAGAGAGCAUUUGAGCAAAAGUGUCACCUUGACACAAAUGUAGCAAAACCUCACAAAUAACCUCAAAGGAAAUGGGCAUCAAUUUUUUAAACCAUAGUUUGCAUUUUAUUUUUAAUUAGAUAUUAAGAAAAAGUAUUAGAACUUACUCUGUUCUUUAAAGGGGUUAAAUUGAUUGACACUCUUGUUACCAGGACUGAGUUAUUUAAAUGAGUGUGAAGAAUGAAGGAGUUACAUUCCACCCCCACUCUAUUAUUAUUAUUAUUAUUAUUAUUAUUAUUAUUAUUAUUAUAAUCAAAGUGGUGGCCCAGGGACCAGCAAAAUGACUCAGUGGGAAAGUGUGCUUGACUAGUGACCUGUGGUUGAUAACUGGAACCCACAUGGUGUGUGGGUUAUCCUCUCUGUCUCUCUC
Onychomys torridus (southern grasshopper mouse) is the source of this 990-nucleotide long non-coding RNA. RefSeq lists it as uncharacterized. The transcript is spliced from 3 exons. The record is from RefSeq and is a predicted model, not a curated record. NCBI's taxonomy places the organism in Eukaryota, Metazoa, Chordata, Mammalia, Rodentia, Cricetidae.